UCCGUAGGCGGUUUAGUAAGUCAGUGGUGAAAGCCCAUCGCUCAACGGUGGAACGGCCAUUGAUACUGGUAGACUUGAGUGUGAUUGAGGUAGCUGGAAUGGAUAGUGUAGCGGUGAAAUGCAUAGAUAUUAUCCAGAACACCGAUUGCGAAGGCAGGUUACUAAGUCAUAACUGACGCUGAGGCACGAAAGUGUGGGGAUCAAACAGGAUUAGAUACCCUUGUA
Molecule: ribosomal RNA, 225 nt
Filed under: uncultured Flectobacillus sp.
Lineage: Bacteria; Pseudomonadati; Bacteroidota; Cytophagia; Cytophagales; Flectobacillaceae
Description: partial 16S ribosomal RNA
Rfam family: Bacterial small subunit ribosomal RNA
Source: RNAcentral